This 427-nucleotide ribosomal RNA is filed under the name uncultured bacterium. RNAcentral describes it as "bacterial SSU rRNA". It matches the Rfam family "Bacterial small subunit ribosomal RNA", at positions 355 to 774 of the family's 1533-position model. The record is from RNAcentral.
UAGGGAAUAUUGGACAAUGGGGGCAACCCUGAUCCAGCCAUGCCGCGUGAGUGAAGAAGGCCCUCGGGUUGUAAAGCUCUUUUGUCCGGAAAGAAAAGCAUUCGGUGAAUACCCGGAUGUUCUGACGGUACCGGAAGAAUAAGCACCGGCUAACUUCGUGCCAGCAGCCGCGGUAAUACGAAGGGUGCAAGCGUUACUCGGAAUUACUGGGCGUAAAGCGUGCGUAGGUGGUUGUUUAAGUCUGAUGUGAAAGCCCUGGGCUCAACCUGGGAAUGGCAUUGGAAACUGGGCAGCUAGAGUGCGGUAGAGGGUAGUGGAAUGCCCGGUGUAGCAGUGAAAUGCGUAGAGAUCGGGAGGAACAUCUGUGGCGAAGGCGACUGCCUGGACCAGCACUGACACUGAGGCACGAAAGCGUGGGGAGCAAACA